RNAcentral lists this ribosomal RNA (253 nucleotides) under uncultured bacterium. RNAcentral describes it as "partial 16S ribosomal RNA". It matches the Rfam family "Bacterial small subunit ribosomal RNA", at positions 524 to 776 of the family's 1533-position model. The record is from RNAcentral.
UACGGGGGGGGCAAGCGUUGUUCGGAAUUACUGGGCGUAAAGGGCUCGUAGGUGGCCAACUAAGUCAGACGUGAAAUCCCUCGGCUUAACCGGGGAACUGCGUCUGAUACUGGAUGGCUUGAGUUCGGGAGAGGGAUGCGGAAUUCCAGGUGUAGCGGUGAAAUGCGUAGAUAUCUGGAGGAACACCGGUGGCGAAGGCGGCAUCCUGGACCGACACUGACGCUGAGGCACGAAAGCUGGGGGAGCGAACAGG